This is a long non-coding RNA of Papaver somniferum (opium poppy), 1350 nucleotides long. RefSeq lists it as uncharacterized. The record is from RefSeq and is a predicted model, not a curated record. The transcript has 7 exons. Lineage: Eukaryota; Viridiplantae; Streptophyta; Magnoliopsida; Ranunculales; Papaveraceae.
UCUAGUUUUCUCAGGUUGGCUUGACGAAGAAAUUCGAAAUGCAUUUAUGAAAUUUCCCGACUGUAUCACUUCUGAGAAAAAGAUAACGUCAAUGGAUUUUCUUGUGAAUCAAACGGGUUAUAAACCAUCGCUUAUUGUCGGUGAUUUUGAGUUUAAAGUUUGGAGAAGAGGAGUAUACCUAGGUAGAAGCUCCAGAACCGUUGAAGCUAUACCCAAGUGCUGUUAAAUCGAGAGCUACCUAGUAGUGCUUCUGAAGGAUGUUCAGUCCUGGAGGAUUAACUUGUUGAAGUAGGUUGGGGAUAUUGUUGAUGGGUGUCUUUAUUAUUACUACUGUAAGGAUGGCAAGUCCAGAGUGUAAUGGAUGGCCAUAUAAAGUUUGCAACUGAAGAAGCUGCAAAGAAGGCAGUAAAUCUUCGUGAAUACUUGUUGGGUCCCCGUAUUAAACUUUUCCCUCGACUGGAAAACCCCGGAGCAUCGAAAACACUUCUCAUGAAGGACAUACCAUUUUACACUGUUAGAUCUGAUGAUCAAGUUCUUUAAACAGGUUGGGAAAAUUGUUGAUGUGUGUUUCUUUUGCGAUAAGGAUGAAAAGUUCGACUGGUCUCGCCAUAUUGAGUUUGCAACGGAAGAAGCUGCAGAGAAGGAUCAAUUUCUUUGAAAAUGUUGGGGAUAUCAUUGCUGUGCGCGUGUUUCUCUCGCGACAAGUAUCAAACUACUUUAAGGAGAGUUUCCCAUGUUGAGUUUGCAUCUGAAGAAGCUGUGAAGGAGGCAGUAAAGUGGAAUGACAGAGACUCAUUAGGCUGUCCUGUUCGACUUGGCAUUGUUCGUGACAGACUGACAGCCUCUGUGUCCAAGGUCUUGAUACUUCUCUCGGAAUCGAUAAGAUCGGGAGCUUUGCGAAUCCAUCAUUCUCGUGGAAGUUCCAGAGUACCACGACAUUGGUGCUCACACUGGUUGGUAGAUUUUCUACCAGGACGUCCAUUGCAAUUUCUUUUGGAGAGUACAUACAGCAUGACAUGGACACUACAUUUUUGUAGUAAUUGGUAAGAAGUUGUUCCUUAAUCUGUUCAUUCAGACAUAGAGGCCACGGUCGAGAAAUGAAUUCCGAGGAUUGAAUAACCAAAGCUCGAAAUGAAUUCCGAGGAUUGAAUAACCAAAGCGCGUAGCCCGGUAACCUUAACAAUAGAUUAAUGUGUAUCUGUAAAUGCAAAAACAAAACAACUGACAAUAAGGAUGAUGGUGAUGGCCAGAUCACAAUGAUGGCGUAAUUCGUGUAUUCUGCCUUUUUAUGUGCUUUGCAAUUUCCUUGUUCCUUGAAUUGAGAUAAUUUGCAGAUUUAAUUUAUCCUGA